This 74-nucleotide transfer RNA is filed under the name Bifidobacterium adolescentis. RNAcentral's name for it is "tRNA-Arg". It matches the Rfam family "tRNA". From Rfam's summary of the family: Transfer RNA (tRNA) molecules are approximately 80 nucleotides in length. Their secondary structure includes four short double-helical elements and three loops (D, anti-codon, and T loops). Lineage: Bacteria; Bacillati; Actinomycetota; Actinomycetes; Bifidobacteriales; Bifidobacteriaceae. The record is from RNAcentral.
ACCCUUGUAGCUCAGCGGAAUAGAGCGCCGGUUUCCUAAACCGGACGUCGUUGGUUCGACUCCAACCUUGGGUG